CUUCAGCGAUCCCAGCCACAGCGGGGCUUCGCGGUCCUGGCCAUAGGUGGCCAGCAGCGCCUGGGCCUC
Molecule: antisense RNA, 69 nt
Filed under: Streptomyces sp. VN1
Lineage: Bacteria; Bacillati; Actinomycetota; Actinomycetes; Kitasatosporales; Streptomycetaceae
Description: ASpks TB sRNA
Rfam family: ASpks TB sRNA
Source: Rfam by way of RNAcentral